ACGGCGAGUGAAGCGGUAACAGCUCAAAUUUGAAAUCUGGCCUCACGGUCCGAGUUGUAAUUUGUAGAGGAUGCUUCGAGCAUGGUCUGGCCUAAGUUCCUUGGAACAGGACGUCAUAGAGGGUGAGAAUCCCGUAUGCGGUCAGGUGCCUACGCUCAUGUGAAGCUCCUUCGACGAGUCGAGUUGUUUGGGAAUGCAGCUCAAAAUGGGUGGUAAAUUUCAUCUAAAGCUAAAUAUUGGCCAGAGACCGAUAGCGCACAAGUAGAGUGAUCGAAAGAUGAAAAGCACUUUGGAAAGAGAGUUAAACAGUACGUGAAAUUGUUGAAAGGGAAGCGCUUGCAACCAGACUUGCGCGCGGCCGAUCAUCUGGUGUUCUCACCGGUGCACUCGGCCGUGCUCAGGCCAGCAUCGGUUUUGGCGGCUGGAUAAAGGCCCCAGGAAUGUGGCUCCUCUCGGGGAGUGUUAUAGCCUGGGGUGCAAUGCAGCCUGCUGGGACCGAGGACCGCGCUUCGGCUAGGAUGCUGGCGUAAUGGUUGUAAGCGGCCCGUCUUGAAACACGGACCAAGGAGUCUAACAUCUAUGCGAGUGUUUGGGUGUCAAACCCAUACGCGUAAUGAAAGUGAACGGAGGUGAGAACCCUUAAGGGUGCAUCAUCGACCGAUCCUGAUGUCUUCGGAAGGAUUUGAGUAAGAGCAUAGCUGUUGGGACCCGAAAGAUGGUGAACUAUGCCUGAAUAGGGUGAAAGCCAGAGGAAACUCUGGUGGAGGCUCGCAGCGGUUCUGACGUGCAAAUCGAUCGUCAAAUU
RNAcentral lists this ribosomal RNA (805 nucleotides) under Gymnostellatospora sp. RNAcentral describes it as "partial large subunit ribosomal RNA". It matches the Rfam family "Eukaryotic large subunit ribosomal RNA", at positions 86 to 911 of the family's 3401-position model. The record is from RNAcentral. Lineage: Eukaryota; Fungi; Ascomycota; Leotiomycetes; Thelebolales; Pseudeurotiaceae.